This is a non-coding RNA of Camelina sativa (false flax), 711 nucleotides long. Lineage: Eukaryota; Viridiplantae; Streptophyta; Magnoliopsida; Brassicales; Brassicaceae. The record is from RefSeq and is a predicted model, not a curated record.
CUAAUCACAUAAAUGCGAGUUUGGUAAGGAGUUCUAUUUAAUUUUAACAAUUUAUUAAACCCCUUACUCAGUUGGUCCUCUCUUCUUUUCAAUCACUUCAAAGUUUUUUUCAGAGUUUUAAGAUGAUGCCACUCUGUGUUGAUAAUGCCACUCUGUGUUUAAUUGUUUUACGCAUAACAUAUAGUUAUCAAUAUCAUUAAUCAUAAGGUAGAAUAAUAUAUAUAUAGUUUUAUUGGAAUAAAUUGAAACAAUAGGUGAAGCCUUAGGAGCAAAAUCUGCACCACCUCCCUAUCUUGAACCAGACACUGAGGCUAACUCAAUUCUCAAUGGAAUCAACUAUGCUUCUGGUGCGGCUGGAAUCUUGGACGACACUGGACUUUUGUUCAUCGGUAGAGUUCCAUUGAGAGAACAAGUGAGUUAUUUUGAGAAGAGUAGAGAUUAUAUGAUAAAAGUGAUUGGUGAAAAUGGUGCAAAAGAAAUGUUGAAGAAGGCAAUGUUCACAAUCACAAUUGGGUCAAAUGAUAUAUUAAAUUAUAUCCAACCAUCUAUACCUUUCUUCUCGCAAGACAAGCUCCCCACUGAUGUCCUACAAGAUUCCAUGGUGUUCCAUUUGACCACACAUCUUAAGCGUUUGCAUCAACUAGGAGCUAGGAAGUUCGUGGUGGUUGGAGUAGGGCCACUCGGUUGCAUACCAUUUGCUCGUGCCUUGAA